RNA transcript from Andrographis paniculata, 1520 nucleotides. It is a transcript of the gene named ABC transporter I family member 1, with no coding region annotated. The transcript has 3 exons. The record is from RefSeq and is a predicted model, not a curated record. NCBI's taxonomy places the organism in Eukaryota, Viridiplantae, Streptophyta, Magnoliopsida, Lamiales, Acanthaceae.
UACAGUACAGCCGCCGCCGCCACAACUGCACCUUUCUUUCCUCCUACUCCGUCUUCUUGCCAUCUGGUUUUUUUCGUCACCCGCUGUAGCCUACUGCCAUUUCCUUCCUCUUUCUUCUUCUUCUUCUUCCCCAUUCUUCUCCUUUCUCUCCGUUUCGAUUUUUCCUUUAACUUCUUCCUUCAACAUCUUGAACCCGCUCCUGCUUUGAGGGCGCCGACCUUCGUGUUCGGGGGCGACGAACCCUCCGGUUCUCUGUGUAGCUCCGCGGCGCGCUGAUUGUGAAACUGCCUGCUGGAUAUGAUUUGCAUUUGGAACCUAUCUGUUGAGCUUGAACUUAUAUAUCAGUGUGGUUACCCUUCCAUUGAUCUGUAAAAUCGGGAAUUCUAUCCGGCUUGAACUCAGAAGAUCUUUACUAGUUCCCAAUGACUUUGCGCAAAGCCCCACAUCCUCGACUUCUCCUCAACAACGUUUCCUGCAUGAGAAAUGGGCAGCAGAUUCAUCGCCACGUGAAUGUCUCCCUCCACGACGGAGGAGCUCUGGUCCUAUCCGGCCCCAAUGGAUCUGGAAAAACUACGCUUUUGCGCAUGUUAGCUGGCUUCAACAAACCUUCUGCUGGCGAAGUUCUUUGGAACGGGCAUGACAUAACUAAAUCUGGCAUUUUUCAUCAGUACAAGCUUCAGCUGAACUGGUUAUCCCUCAGAGAUGCCAUCAAGGAUAAGUUCACAGUUCUCGACAACGUCCUGUGGUAUGAACUGAUAGAAAGCAAGCAGGGGAAGUCGAUGCCGGCGCUGGAGCUUAUGGGGUUAGGAAGAUUGGCGAAAGAGAAAGCGAGAAGGCUGUCCAUGGGUCAGAGGAAAAGGCUGCAGCUUGCUCGGCUGUUGGCGAUUGAUAGGCCAAUUUGGCUGCUCGAUGAGCCUUCUGUAGCAUUGGAUGAUGAAGGGGUGGAAUUGCUGGAGUACAUUAUUAGGGAGCAUAGGAAGAAGGGGGGAAUUGCCAUUGUUGCGACGCAUCAGCCUGUUAAAAUGGAAGAUGCGAUGAUUCUGAAACUGCCUGCGAGGUUCCCCGGAAGGAUGACUUUUGUGGAUAUGCUCGACCGUGAUAAACUUGAGGUGGAUUGAUUAAAGCAGGUGUUUUGUGACUUGUUCUAUGCUAUAUAUCAUCAGCAGCCAUAAAUUUUUGAAGGAAUUGAAUGGAUGCUGUUUUGGCCAUUGUAUCAUCCAUUGGAAGGCAAGAGGACAAACUCCACAGGUAAAUUCAAUUUAUUUAUAUUUAUAUUUUUAUAGUUACUGGAAUUUGCAAGAAAUUUAGGUUUCAGUCUUGUACCUACUUUUGGUUAUAAAUUCAGUUUAUUGUUGAGAGAUGAUUAUUUGUUUUAGUUGAUAUUGGUUACAAUCUGAAUUGUGCUUAUUCUUGAGAGUAGAGUAGAUCAUUGGUUAGUACACUUAGGUAGUGUUUGUCUGUGUUUUGAUUUUUCACAGUUGAAUUUAUAAUUAUUAAAAAUAUAUGUUAUACUCCUGUCU